This 497-nucleotide ribosomal RNA is filed under the name uncultured bacterium. RNAcentral describes it as "bacterial SSU rRNA". It matches the Rfam family "Bacterial small subunit ribosomal RNA", at positions 30 to 518 of the family's 1533-position model. The record is from RNAcentral.
UGAACGCUAGCGACAGGCCGUAACACAUGCAAGUCGAGGGGCGAGCACAAGGAGCAAUCUGAGGUGGCGACCGGCGCACGGGUGAGUAACACGUAUGCAACCUGCCUGUAAGCGGGGAAUAACCCGUUGAAAGACGGACUAAUACCGCAUAAUACUAAAUUACUGCAUGGUAAUUUAUUUAAACAUUUAUGGCUUACAGAUGGGCAUGCGCAUGAUUAGCUAGUUGGAGAGGUAACGGCUCCCCAAGGCAACGAUCAUUAGGGGUUCUGAGAGGAAGGUCCCCCACACUGGUACUGAGACACGGACCAGACUCCUACGGGAGGCAGCAGUGAGGAAUAUUGGUCAAUGGACGAGAGUCUGAACCAGCCAAGUCGCGUGCAGGAAGAAUGUCCUUAAUGGAUUGUAAACUGCUUUUGCAGGGGAAUAAAGUGCAUCACGUGUGAUGUUUUGUAUGUACUCUGCGAAUAAGGAUCGGCUAACUCCGUGCCAGCCGCUGC